This 448-nucleotide ribosomal RNA is filed under the name uncultured prokaryote. Its description in RNAcentral is "bacterial SSU rRNA". It matches the Rfam family "Bacterial small subunit ribosomal RNA", at positions 355 to 796 of the family's 1533-position model. The record is from RNAcentral.
UCGGGAAUCUUGCACAAUGGGCGAAAGCCUGAUGCAGCAACGCCGUGUGAGCGAGGAAGGCCUUCGGGUCGUAAAGCUCUGUUGUUGGGGACGAAGGGCGAAGGGUUAAUAGCCCCUAGCCUGACGGUACCCUUCGAGGAAGCCCCGGCUAACUACGUGCCAGCAGCCGCGGUAAUACGGAGGGUCCAAGCGUUGUCCGGAAUCACUGGGUGUAAAGGGUGCGCAGGCGGGCGUGUAAGUCAGGGGUGAAAGCCACCGGCCUAACCGGUGAACUGCCCUUGAUACUGCACGUCUUGAGUCCCGGAGAGGCUAUCGGAAUUCGUGGUGUAGCGGUGAAAUGCGUAAAUAUCACGAGGAACACCUAAUGCGUAGGCAGAUAGCUGGACGGGUACUGACGCUCAGGCACGAAAGCGUGGGUAGCGAACAGGAUUAGAUACCCCUGUAGUCC